This 462-nucleotide ribosomal RNA is filed under the name uncultured bacterium. Its description in RNAcentral is "partial 16S ribosomal RNA". It matches the Rfam family "Bacterial small subunit ribosomal RNA", at positions 28 to 507 of the family's 1533-position model. The record is from RNAcentral.
GACGAACGCUGGCGGCGUGCUUAACACAUGCAAGUCGAACGGAAAGGCCCUUCGGGGUACUCGAGUGGCGAACGGGUGAGUAACACGUGGGUGAUCUGCCCUGCACUUUGGGAUAAGCCUGGGAAACUGGGUCUAAUACCGAAUAGGACCACGCGCUUCAUGGUGUGUGGUGGAAAGCUUUUGCGGUGUGGGAUGGGCCCGCGGCCUAUCAGCUUGUUGGUGGGGGAAUGGCCUACCAAGGCGACGACGGGUAGCCGGCCUGAGAGGGUGACCGGCCACACUGGGACUGAGAUACGGCCCAGACUCCUACGGGAGGCAGCAGUGGGGAAUAUUGCACAAUGGGCGCAAGCCUGAUGCAGCGACGCCGCGUGAGGGAUGACGGCCUUCGGGUUGUAAACCUCUUUCAAUAGGGACGAAGCGCAAGUGACGGUACCUAUAGAAGAAGCACCGGCCAACUACGUG